This is a long non-coding RNA of Monodelphis domestica (gray short-tailed opossum), 2349 nucleotides long. RefSeq lists it as uncharacterized. NCBI's taxonomy places the organism in Eukaryota, Metazoa, Chordata, Mammalia, Didelphimorphia, Didelphidae. The record is from RefSeq and is a predicted model, not a curated record.
AGCAUUGUAGAGGGGCGCAGAGAAGUGGAGGCCAGUGGGACAUGCGAUGUGGAAGAGGGCAGCAGCUGAGGACUCUGGCACCUGGUGGGAGGAGUGGGUAGGAAGGUGGAAGAAAACACAGGACGCGUGUCAGAUCAAGUUGGCACCCCAAUGGCCUCUGGAUAUACUGACCAGGACCUGGACUUUCGGACUUUAGAGGUGGCAGGUCUUUCAAGGAAGCUGUCCAGACGCAUAAGCCUCUCCAUGUGCAGCGCCCGGGGAUCUUGUUCUUGGUCAUGAGAGAAUUCAACCUCAAAGACGGCUGGAGGGGACACAUCCAGUUCCAGGAAUAGGAUGUUCUCUGCCUGUCCCCAGAAAAGUAAAACCAGAUAUGGGUACAGAUGUGCCUGGCACCAUAUGCCUUCUCUGUCCCUAGCUAAUAUUCACUGAUGGUGGCAAUGAAUGGCCCUGGGACAACGCGUCUGUGCUACCUCAGCAAGGUCUGAAAAUGACACCCUCUGAGUCUGAAACCAUGCCCUGCAUUGUAGGCAUGGCCGAUGCAUUGAAAAGUGUUUCCUCAGCUGUACCUUUUAGUUGUGAAAGAGGGCUCUUGUGGGCUGAGGAGGAAUUGUUGACAAGUGACAUGAUGUAAAAAAAAAAAAUAUAUAUAUAUAUAAUAUAUAUAUAUGUACACACAUAUAUACAUAUAUAAAGUAUGUAUUUAAUUAAUUGAGACUGGGUCUUCUUCUGGCAUCAUUCACAGGCCAGAUCCCCCUAUUAGUGGCAUGAGAGCUUGACCUACUCUGUUUCUGACUGUUCUUCCUUAGGCAACCCGGUGGCUGGCUCCUUGCUCCCAGGGACUCACUCUACCGUUGCCAGACUUGGCGCAGAGUCCUGAUUGAGUGAGCCCAUUGUAGCUCAGAACUCUCAAGCCCAGGAGAUUUGUCAGCUUCAGCCUCCCAGGUCUCUUUGCUUCACACUGAUCUAUGGAGGCAUCCAGCGACAGUCUUCAGGUGUGAAGAGCUUCAGGUAACUUCUUCAAGAUCCAUCUUCCAUCUCCUCCUACUUCCCCCGUGAUGGGAGUCCCUGAGGCUCUAUCCUGGACUUCCUGCUCUUUUCCCAAAAUGAUCUCUUCUGUGAUUUCUACCCCUUGUGCCUUCAUCCCUCCCUUCCCUUCAGGCUUACAUAUCUUACAUCUUCAGCCUUCUCUCAAAACAGGUCCUUUUCAUCUCUCAAACUGUUCUAACCAGACUGCAAACAUUCUCUUAUCUUUGUUGCACUUUUUUUCAAUCCACAAUUUAAGCUCUAACCAAUGGUGUACUGGUUGUGUUUAAUAUCUGGCUCUCCAAAAAAACAAAAAGUAUACAGAAGACAUCCUUUUAAGUUUAAUCUGCAUUAUUAACAUUUUCUUUAUCACUUUCUUAUGCCUAGACAGUCAACAAAUCAAUGUCAAGAUCUGAUUUGCAGUGUUUGCUGAUUUCUGAGGUAUAAAUGCUCAGACAGAAAAUAUAACAAUUUUCCAAGCCUACCUCUACCUCUAACAUAAAAUUGUAAGGAAGAAACUAUUAUAUGCUAUAUUAGCACACACCUCCCCCUCAACCUACCCACUUAUAGUAACAGAAACACUUGAUAAAUUCUUAUUGGCAAUGAUUAAGGCUCAUGAAAAAGUAUAUACCCAGGGUUAGGCAGACCCCCCCAAAUGUCACCAUGUGCAGUCUGAGAGACAGACAGACAGCAGACAGAGACAGAGACAGAGAGAGAGAGAAAAUGUGGCAAGAUCAACCCUGGCAGAGUAAGGGUAAACAAAGAAGCCAGAGAGUGAAAGAACUGGGUUAGCUGAGCCACUGGCAGGAUCAUGGCUCUAGAGAUGGAAGAGACACCAGAGGGUAGCUAGUCCCCUUCCUUCAUUUAAUGGAUGAGGAAAUAAAAUCCAAGAGAUGAGAAGUGACUUAUCCAGACUUUCACAUAAGAAGCAUUAGAGGUGGGAUCUGAAUCCAGCUCCUUUGAUUUGAGAAUGCUUUUCCCAUUGAGGUAUGCUAUGAUGACAUGGGAAAGAGCAAAAGAUAAUGAGGGAGAGGAGCAAAAGCAUAAGUAAGUCUGAGGGUAGUGAAUGGGCUUAGUUAAUUUUGAGAAGGAAACCUCAAACUCUAGGUCUCAGACAUCCUCCAAACCUUCCCUGAGGUCUGCAGCCAUGACUCAGAAGUCUGAGAAACACCUAGAGCACUGAGACUGAUCCUGGGUACCUUGGUGGCAAGAUGGUAAAGAUACUACUAUUAAUAAUACCUUCCAUUCAUAAGGGACUUUUAACUUUCUCACAGUGUUCCCACAUAUAUCAUUUUGUCUGUCUUUAUAAUACCCCUGGGAAGUAGC